This 2055-nucleotide long non-coding RNA is filed under the name Mus musculus (house mouse). Its description in RNAcentral is "long non-coding RNA chr17:12799769-12801824". Lineage: Eukaryota; Metazoa; Chordata; Mammalia; Rodentia; Muridae. The record is from RNAcentral.
GUGGACCCGGAGAGAUAGCUAAGUGGUAAUCUUCCAGAGGGCAGGCAUUUGAUUCCCACAGCCACACUGGGUGACUCACAGAAUUCCAACUGUAAUUUCAGCUCCAUGAAAUCCUCUUCUGGCCUCUAUGGCCAUCCAUACUCAUAUGUGCAUUCAUACAUAUACAUAGACAAAAACAAAUUCAAUCAUUAAAAGUAAAAAAAAAAAAAAGGGCUUUAGAGGGCUAUGGAAACGGCUCAGUGGAUGGAUAUGGGCUUGCUGGGGAUGAGCUUGGAGGGCUAUGGAAACGGCUCAGUGGAUGGAUAUGGGCUUGCUGGGGAAGGAUAAGGAUGUAUCUCUACACCCACAUUAAAAAGAGCCAGGCAUGGUCCACACGGAUGCUGGAGAGGCAGAGACAGAGACAGGAAGAUACUUGGAGCUUGCUAAUCACUAGCCUAGUACAAAAGUGAGGUCCAGGUUCAGUGAGAGACCAUGUCAUAUAAGUAGCACAAGAUUGUCGAUCACAUUAUCAGAGCUCUAAAAGAGACCAUGCCUCAAAAAACUUAAGGAUUAUGAUAAAAGAGACAGCUAAGGUGUGCUCACAUGCACAAAUGUGCAUGAGUGCACACACACAUACUUCACAGCUGGGUAUAUAACUCAGUAGAUUGCUUGCCUAGCACACACAUGGUACUAUGUUGAUUCCCAACCACACAUAAACAGAGUAUGGCAGUACAUACCUGUAAUCCCAGCACUAAGGAAGACAGAGGUGGGGGGAAUCAGAAGUUUAGGGCCAUGCUCUGCUAUACAGACAUCUUGAGGUCUGGGUACAUGACAUCUUGUCUCUGCAAACAAAGCAAACACACAAACAGAAGAUUAUUAAAGUAUCAUUAGUAAGCCGUAACUUGUUGACACACAGAUUGCCUAUAGCAGAAAAUUUGCCAUUUUUUGAAGCAUACAAAGGCCCCUGAGACCAUCAGCACAAUCCCCCAGAAUGGCCCUCUGUCUCUCCAGUGUAGUCCAUUCCAGUGUCCACCAAGCAGACAUUGGUGUUUCCAUCAUUUUCUAGAGCAGAAAUGGAAUCCUACAACAAUAUGUAGUCCUUUGUCAGAAUCCUCCCACUCAGCAUAGUUAUAUAUUGUUGCAUGGGGCCCGCUAGCUCAUUCGUCUGUGUUACUAAGUAAUUUUCCACUGUGGGGAUGUUCCAGGGUUGAUCCCUCUCCCUGUCUUUGGAUUAGUACUGUCUUUUCUUUGGAACAACUACCUGGCAUUGGGUAGAUUGAGCAUAUGGUGGCCAUGCUUAAGACUCUGCUAAACAAUUAGACCUUUUAAAAAAUGUUUGCAUGAUUCUUUCAUUCCCAAGGAACAGAGUUCUUCCAUAUCUUCUUUGUUAGUAUGUUUUAAUUUAUCUUAAUGAGGGUGAGUGGUAUCUCAUUGGUUUUAGUCGGUAUUUGAAUUAAUUACAUCUAAUCUUGGAUAUUCUACUUUGUCUUAUUUGUAGUCUAUAUAUCUUUUGGGGACAGUAAUUUGGGGUGGGUUUUUUUUUUUGGUUUGUUUGGGUUGGGUUUUUUUUGUUUGUUUGUUUUUUGUUUUUUUCAAGACAGGGUUUCUCUGUGUAGCCUUGGCUGUCUUGGAACUCACUUUGUAGACCAGGCUGGCUCGAACUCAGAAAUCCGCCUGCCUCUGCCUCCCGAGUGCUGGGAUUAAAGCUGUGCGCCACCACGCCCAGCCAAUUUAUGCUAAUCUUCCUCCCUCAGCUUCUCAAGUGCUAGGGUAACAGGCAUAGACUACCAUGCCUAGCUAUCUGCCAUCUGUUUACUUCCUAUGCUAAAGUAUUUGCUCAAAUCUCUGCCCAUUAUAAAAUUGGAUAGAUUAAAAAAAAAAAAUAACGCUUAUCAGGGCUAGAGAAAAUGGUUCAGCAGUCAAGAGCAUUUGCUGAUCUUGCAGAGGAUCCAGGUUCAUAUGCAACUGGAAAUCAUUAGACAAAAUGUAAGGGAAGUGGGGUUUAUAGGGCCUCCUGAAUGAUCUUUGCAAUCUGCCAAUAAGCAUAAAACUAGUCUGAAAUGGGAAUCUCUCUUU